UACGUAGGGUGCUAGCGUUGUCCGGAAUCAUUGGGCGUAAAGAGCGCGUAGGCGGCCAGAUAAGUCCGGUGUGAAAGUCAAAGGCUCAACCUUUGAAUGCCGCUGGAAACUGUCUGGCUAGAGUCCGGGAGGGGCGAGUGGAAUUCCUGGUGUAGCGGUGAAAUGCGCAGAUAUCAGGAGGAACACCAAUGGCGAAGGCAGGUCUCUGGGCAUUAACUGACGCUGAGGAGCGAAAGCAUGGGGAGCGAACAGG
RNAcentral lists this ribosomal RNA (253 nucleotides) under uncultured bacterium. Its description in RNAcentral is "partial 16S ribosomal RNA". It matches the Rfam family "Bacterial small subunit ribosomal RNA", at positions 524 to 776 of the family's 1533-position model. The record is from RNAcentral.